Molecule: microRNA, 24 nt
Filed under: Glycine max (soybean)
Lineage: Eukaryota; Viridiplantae; Streptophyta; Magnoliopsida; Fabales; Fabaceae
Description: gma-miR10410b
Source: miRBase by way of RNAcentral
UUUCCACAUCGUUGCUGACAUAAG